AUAAAAAAACCCCGCGCGGCCGGUACCGCGCGGGGUU
This 37-nucleotide small RNA is filed under the name Janthinobacterium sp. AD80. Its description in RNAcentral is "P6". The record is from RNAcentral. Lineage: Bacteria; Pseudomonadati; Pseudomonadota; Betaproteobacteria; Burkholderiales; Oxalobacteraceae.